CCCUCCACCUCCUCCACCACGCGACGGUUCUUCCCCUCCUCCUCCACCACGUGACGGUUCUGCCCCUCCACCGCCUCCUAGUGGACCCCCUUCAACAUAGAGGCCUUCUCCUCCGAACCCAAACCAAGUGUAGACGAACGAAAAGCUGAUUCCACGCAGGACUAGAAGACUGCUGUUUAUCAAAUGACAACGAAUUUAUAAUUUUGCCAUUAACGGCAACGAAUGGCAACCAAUCUUAAAUAUUAUUUUCAUUAUGAUGAUCUAGGCCUUUCAUGUAGAUUUGUUUUUCUUCUAUACGAUCAUGAAAUGAUAAGAGAUGAAAGAUUGGGUAAAACUAAACGGAUGUAAUGAAAAUCAAGUGCAAAGUUACAUCACUUAUUUCAUAAUUCUUUGAUCGGGUGAUAGAGUAACCAGCUACGUGCAUUCACUUUGCUGCAAAAAAAAAGUAGCCUAUUCACAGGAUUUUAUUUAAUCCAUUGACUCCUGAACUUUCUUGAUCCUCAUGAACUAACUGUUACUGGUCACCAAUGGUUUGAUAGUCGUUUUAAAUUGUGUAAUUUAGUUUAUUUGCUUCAUACAGCAACGAAAACUCCUUUGCGAAUUCAUUAUACCAGGUGACAUUUUGGAUGAUUCGAUAAUCAUCAUUACAUAUUCAUGAAAUAUUAUUUUCUUUGAAGGAUAUCAUCUUUCUCUUUCAAAAAGGAGUAAGGAUACCAUUACUUGCAGACGUGAUUAGUAUAUAAAUUGUCAUGAAAUUAAAAUCUUUGCAAA
Strongylocentrotus purpuratus (purple sea urchin) is the source of this 771-nucleotide long non-coding RNA. RefSeq lists it as uncharacterized. The transcript is spliced from 2 exons. The record is from RefSeq and is a predicted model, not a curated record. NCBI's taxonomy places the organism in Eukaryota, Metazoa, Echinodermata, Echinoidea, Camarodonta, Strongylocentrotidae.